Molecule: ribosomal RNA, 253 nt
Filed under: uncultured bacterium
Lineage: Bacteria
Description: partial 16S ribosomal RNA
Rfam family: Bacterial small subunit ribosomal RNA
Source: RNAcentral
CACGGGGGGAGCAAGCGUUGUUCGGAAUCACUGGGCGGAAAGGGCGUGUAGGCGGUCAGGUAAGUGGGAUGUGAAAUGCCUCGGCUCACCCGAGGACCUGCAUCCCAAACUGCUUGGCUUGAGUAUGGGAGAGGAUGAGGGAAUUCCUGGUGUAGCGGUGAAAUGCGUAGAUAUCAGGAGGAACACCGGUGGCGAAGGCGCUCAUCUGGCCCAAUACUGACGCUGAGGCGCGAAAGCUAGGGGAGCAAACGGG